Molecule: long non-coding RNA, 431 nt
Organism: Osmerus eperlanus (European smelt)
Lineage: Eukaryota; Metazoa; Chordata; Actinopteri; Osmeriformes; Osmeridae
Exons: 4
Source: RefSeq, a predicted model, not a curated record
AGGUUGUCAAGAGUAUGCUUGAGCGUAUUGUGGACAAUGUGUGCAUGGCAGUUACCCUGAAAAACUUGCUCUAUUUUCAAGCCAACAGCUUCCAACGAGUCCAGCAGACACCCCAUGAUCCCCACUGCUGAUUCAUCUGGAUUUUCGACAAAGUCGAUCAUCUUAUUCACCACACCACAUUCUGGUGUGAAGAAUUGGACUGCCACUGGGAACAUCUUUCUGUUGCCUUUGUUGGAGGCAUCUGUCUGGAUGGAGAAAGGAGAUUUUUUUGGCAACCUUUGAGUCUGGCAAAAUCUUUGAGAAUUGUGGGUAGAGGUGAGGAGGGUGUUACUGUGAUCUGGCUCUGUGUGUCCCAUACACUUUAAGAGAGUGCUGGUCACAGACAUCUGGGAGACCCUUCUCCACACAACAUGUUUUUAGUUGUUAUGUUG